Molecule: ribosomal RNA, 845 nt
Filed under: Curvularia australiensis
Lineage: Eukaryota; Fungi; Ascomycota; Dothideomycetes; Pleosporales; Pleosporaceae
Description: eukaryotic LSU rRNA
Rfam family: Eukaryotic large subunit ribosomal RNA
Source: RNAcentral
CAGGGAUUGCCCUAGUAACGGCGAGUGAAGCGGCAACAGCUCAAAUUUGAAAUCUGGCUCUUUCAGAGUCCGAGUUGUAAUUUGCAGAGGGCGCUUUGGCUUUGGCAGCGGUCCAAGUUCCUUGGAACAGGACGUCACAGAGGGUGAGAAUCCCGUACGUGGUCGCUAGCUAUUGCCGUGUAAAGCCCCUUCGACGAGUCGAGUUGUUUGGGAAUGCAGCUCUAAAUGGGAGGUAAAUUUCUUCUAAAGCUAAAUACUGGCCAGAGACCGAUAGCGCACAAGUAGAGUGAUCGAAAGAUGAAAAGCACUUUGGAAAGAGAGUCAAACAGCACGUGAAAUUGUUGAAAGGGAAGCGCUUGCAGCCAGACUUGCUUGCAGUUGCUCAUCCGGGCUUUUGCCCGGUGCACUCUUCUGCAGGCAGGCCAGCAUCAGUUUGGGCGGUGGGAUAAAGGUCUCUGACACGUUCCUUCCUUCGGGUUGGCCAUAUAGGGGAGACGUCAUACCACCAGCCUGGACUGAGGUCCGCGCAUCUGCUAGGAUGCUGGCGUAAUGGCUGUAAGCGGCCCGUCUUGAAACACGGACCAAGGAGUCUAACAUCUAUGCGAGUGUUUGGGUGUCAAGCCCGAGCGCGUAAUGAAAGUGAACGGAGGUGGGAACCCGCAAGGGUGCACCAUCGACCGAUCCUGAAGUUUACGGAAGGAUUUGAGUAAGAGCAUGGCUGUUGGGACCCGAAAGAUGGUGAACUAUGCUUGAAUAGGGUGAAGCCAGAGGAAACUCUGGUGGAGGCUCGCAGCGGUUCUGACGUGCAAAUCGAUCGUCAAAUUUGGGCAUAGGGGCGAAAGACU